GUAUGAUGAUGGUUCAACUCAAGACUAUAUCACUUCUUUUCUUUCGGAUUGUAUGAUACAUGUUCAAUCUGUGAAUGUAUACAAGUAGGGUCAUGUGGCCACCUUUUAGUCAUUCACCGCAUGAUUAUAUAUAGCAAGGACCUGAUUCUCCCCUAAUCAUGCUGCUUAUAGGCUAUGCUUGAUUUUAUCUGAUAUGGUAUCGCUUGG
Molecule: unclassified non-coding RNA, 207 nt
Filed under: Hevea brasiliensis (rubber tree)
Lineage: Eukaryota; Viridiplantae; Streptophyta; Magnoliopsida; Malpighiales; Euphorbiaceae
Source: RNAcentral